CAUACAAUUGGAACAGAAAUCCUAAAGCUCCUGUGGAGAUGUUCUUCAUGCAGUAGCUCCUGUAUUUUUCCACCUUUCCUAAUUGCAUCCCUUGGGAGUGGAAGUGCUGGGUUGGUGCACAGUCUUCUCUUGCCCGAGUCCUAACACAGCGGGCCUCCUGGGCACCUCUUGGACUUCACAGUUCUGCCAGUAACAUCAUGUUAAACUUUCCAGACAGGAAAAACUUGGAGUCCUGGUCAGCUUCGACCCACUGGGAAGGGGAGGAUCCAGCAUGUCUUGGAGCCAUUGCAAAAGAUUCCAGGCAAGAACUGUGCAGCUUGGUGCAGCAUCCGAAAUCUGCUUUCUAUGCCACUGAAGAUGAUUCUACGGCUGUACUAUGGCAGUUCCCACGCCUCUCUGGGAACACGGACUGUGACCCGUG
This is a long non-coding RNA of Alligator mississippiensis (American alligator), 421 nucleotides long. RefSeq lists it as uncharacterized. The transcript is spliced from 3 exons. The record is from RefSeq and is a predicted model, not a curated record. NCBI's taxonomy places the organism in Eukaryota, Metazoa, Chordata, Crocodylia, Alligatoridae.